AUGAGUCGUCAUGAUGGCAUCAACAUCCCCGAUGGCAAGUUCUACCUAGGAGAUGAUGGCUAUGCAUGUCGGCCAGGUGUUCUUCCACCCUUCAGAAAAACCAGGUACCAUCUGAACGAGUUCUCUGGUAGGAACUAUCCUAGGACUCCACAGGAGCUGUUCAAUCUCAGACACUCCAGCCUUAGAGUAAUGGUUGAGAGGGCAUUCGGAGCUCUGAAGAACAGGUUCAAGAUCCUGUAUCAAAAACCAUUCCCUUACCCUACCCAUGUUAAGCUUGUUCUUGCAUGUUGCAUUCUGCAUAAUUGGAUCCUGCAAUGGGGGGUUGAUGAACUUGUGCCAGAGGAGGAAGAUGUGACUCCUGAAGAGGUGAUCAGCUCUGACCAUGGUGUGGAGGCGUUCGACAACGAAGCAUGGAAGAACAAAAGGUUGGAGUGGACUCAGGCGAUGUGGGAUAAUAGAGGUUAG
RNAcentral lists this ribosomal RNA (465 nucleotides) under Triticum aestivum (bread wheat). RNAcentral's name for it is "partial small subunit ribosomal RNA". Lineage: Eukaryota; Viridiplantae; Streptophyta; Magnoliopsida; Poales; Poaceae. The record is from RNAcentral.